UACGGGGGGGGCAAGCGUUGUUCGGAAUUACUGGGCGUAAAGGGCUCGUAGGCGGCCAACUAAGUCGGAUGUGAAAUCCCCGGGCUCAACCCGGGAACUGCGUCCGAUACUGGCAGGCUUGAAUCCGGGAGAGGGAUGCGGGAUUCCAGGUGUAGCGGUGAAAUGCGUAGAUAUCUGGAGGAACACCGGUGGCGAAGGCGGCAUCCUGGACCGGCAUUGACGCUGAGGCGCGAAAGCCAGGGGAGCAAACGGG
RNAcentral lists this ribosomal RNA (253 nucleotides) under uncultured bacterium. RNAcentral describes it as "partial 16S ribosomal RNA". It matches the Rfam family "Bacterial small subunit ribosomal RNA", at positions 524 to 776 of the family's 1533-position model. The record is from RNAcentral.